GACGAACGCUGGCGGCGUGCUUAACACAUGCAAGUCGAACGGAAAGGCCUGCUUUCCCUUGUGGAUUGCGGGUACUCGAGUGGCGAACGGGUGAGUAACACGUGAGUGAUCUGCCCCCAACUUGGGUAUAAGCCUGGGAAACUGGGUCUAAUUCCCGAUAGGGCUGCAGGGUGGUGCCUGUGGUGGAAAACGAUUUUCUAGUGGUUGGGGAUGAGCUCGCGGCCUAUCAGCUUGUUGGUGGGGUAAUGGCCUACCAAGGCGGCGACGGGUAGCCGGCCUGGGGGGGUGGACGGCCACAUUGGGACUGAGAUACGGCCCAGACUCCUACGGGAGGCAGCAGUGGGGAAUAUUGCACAAUGGGCGGAAGCCUGAUGCAGCGACGCCGCGUGGGGGAUGACGGCCUUCGGGUUGUAAACUCCUUUCGACCGCGAGGAAGCCACCUGGUUGGAAGGGUGGUGACGGUAGUGGUAGAAGAAGCACCGGCUAACUACGUG
RNAcentral lists this ribosomal RNA (494 nucleotides) under uncultured bacterium. Its description in RNAcentral is "partial 16S ribosomal RNA". It matches the Rfam family "Bacterial small subunit ribosomal RNA", at positions 28 to 507 of the family's 1533-position model. The record is from RNAcentral.